UGGGGAAUCUUCGGCAAUGGACGAAAGUCUGACCGAGCAACGCCGCGUGAGUGAAGAAGGUUUUCGGAUCGUAAAACUCUGUUGUUAGAGAAGAACAAGGACGUUAGUAACUGAACGUCCCCUGACGGUAUCUAACCAGAAAGCCACGGCUAACUACGUGCCAGCAGCCGCGGUAAUACGUAGGUGGCAAGCGUUGUCCGGAUUUAUUGGGCGUAAAGCGAGCGCAGGCGGUUUCUUAAGUCUGAUGUGAAAGCCCCCGGCUCAACCGGGGAGGGUCAUUGGAAACUGGGGGACGUGAGUGCAGAAGAGGGGAGUGGAGUUCCAUGUGUAGCGGUGAAAUGCGUAGAUAUAUGGGGGCACACCAGUGGCGAAGGCGGCUCUCUGGUCUGUAGCUGACGCUGAGGCUCGAAAGCGGGGGGAGCAAACAGG
This 429-nucleotide ribosomal RNA is filed under the name Chloroflexota bacterium. RNAcentral describes it as "Chloroflexi bacterium partial 16S ribosomal RNA". It matches the Rfam family "Bacterial small subunit ribosomal RNA", at positions 355 to 776 of the family's 1533-position model. Lineage: Bacteria; Bacillati; Chloroflexota. The record is from RNAcentral.